UAGCUAGUUGGUGGGGUAAGGGCCUACCAAGGCGACGAUCGGUAGCUGGUCUGAGAGGAUGACCAGCCACACUGGAACUGAGACACGGUCCAGACUCCUACGGGAGGCAGCAGUGGGGAAUAUUGGACAAUGGGGGCAACCCUGAUCCAGCAAUGCCGCGUGUGUGAAGAAGGCCUGAGGGUUGUAAAGCACUUUCAGUGGGGAGGAGGGUUGAUAGGUUAAGAGCUAAUUAACUGGACGUUACCCACAGAAGAAGCACCGGCUAACUCCGUGCCAGCAGCCGCGGUAAUACGGAGGGUGCGAGCGUUAAUCGGAAUUACUGGGCGUAAAGGGUGCGUAGGUGGUUGAUUAAGUUAUCUGUGAAAUUCCUGGGCUUAACCUGGGACGGUCAGAUAAUACUGGUUGACUCGAGUAUGGGAGAGGGUAGUGGAAUUUCCGGUGUAGCGGUGAAAUGCGUAGAGAUCGGAAGGAACACCAGUGGCGAAGGCGGCUACCUGGCCUAAUACUGACACUGAGGCACGAAAGCGUGGGGAGCAAACAGGAUUAGAUACCCUGGUAGUCCACGCUGUAAACGAUGUCAACUAGCAGUUGGUUAUAUGAAAAUAAUUAGUGGCGC
RNAcentral lists this ribosomal RNA (616 nucleotides) under uncultured Legionella sp. RNAcentral's name for it is "bacterial SSU rRNA". It matches the Rfam family "Bacterial small subunit ribosomal RNA", at positions 242 to 849 of the family's 1533-position model. Lineage: Bacteria; Pseudomonadati; Pseudomonadota; Gammaproteobacteria; Legionellales; Legionellaceae. The record is from RNAcentral.